AUUGAACGCUGGCGGAAUGCUUUACACAUGCAAGUCGAACGGUAGAGGGGGCAACCCCUCGAGAGUGGCGAACGGGUGAGUAAUAUAUCGGAACGUGCCCAGUCGUGGGGGAUAACGUAGCGAAAGUUACGCUAAUACCGCAUACGAUCUAAGGAUGAAAGCGGGGGAUCCCAAGACCUGGCGCGAUUGGAGCGCCCGAUAUCAGAUUAGGUAGUUGGUGGGGUAAAGGCUCACCAAGCCAACGAUCUGAAGCUGGUCUGAGAGGACGACCAGCCACACUGGAACUGAGACACGGUCCAGACUCCUACGGGAGGCAGCAGUGGGGAAUUUUGGACAAUGGACGCAAGUCUGAUCCAGCCAUUCCGCGUGCAGGAUGAAGGCCCUCGGGUUGUAAACUGCUUUUGUACGGAACGAAAAGGUCUCUCUUAAUACGGGGGGCUCAUGACGGUACCGUAAGAAUAAGUACCGGCUAACUACGUGCCAGCAGCCGCCGUAA
RNAcentral lists this ribosomal RNA (496 nucleotides) under uncultured bacterium. RNAcentral's name for it is "partial 16S ribosomal RNA". It matches the Rfam family "Bacterial small subunit ribosomal RNA", at positions 30 to 523 of the family's 1533-position model. The record is from RNAcentral.